This 503-nucleotide ribosomal RNA is filed under the name uncultured Mycobacterium sp. RNAcentral describes it as "bacterial SSU rRNA". It matches the Rfam family "Bacterial small subunit ribosomal RNA", at positions 552 to 1054 of the family's 1533-position model. Lineage: Bacteria; Bacillati; Actinomycetota; Actinomycetes; Mycobacteriales; Mycobacteriaceae. The record is from RNAcentral.
UACUGGGCGUAAAGAGCUCGUAGGUGGUUUGUCGCGUUGUUCGUGAAAUCUCACGGCUUAACUGUGAGCGUGCGGGCGAUACGGGCAGACUAGAGUACUGCAGGGGAGACUGGAAUUCCUGGUGUAGCGGUGGAAUGCGCAGAUAUCAGGAGGAACACCGGUGGCGAAGGCGGGUCUCUGGGCAGUAACUGACGCUGAGGAGCGAAAGCGUGGGGAGCGAACAGGAUUAGAUACCCUGGUAGUCCACGCCGUAAACGGUGGGUACUAGGUGUGGGUUUCCUUCCUUGGGAUCCGUGCCGUAGCUAACGCAUUAAGUACCCCGCCUGGGGAGUACGGCCGCAAGGCUAAAACUCAAAGGAAUUGACGGGGGCCCGCACAAGCGGCGGAGCAUGUGGAUUAAUUCGAUGCAACGCGAAGAACCUUACCUGGGUUUGACAUGCACAGGACGCGUCUAGAGAUAGGCGUUCCCUUGUGGCCUGUGUGCAGGUGGUGCAUGGCUGUCG